AAUAAAGAUAAACUUGAUAAUAUAGUUUUAUUUGUAAGAUUUAAUAAACUAUAUAAAUUCUACAUAAAACUGGUAAAAGUAUGAUUUAUACUUUAAUUUCUAGUAACAUUAAUAUAAUCUAUUUUAACAGUUUGGUGAGUGAGCGUUAAUGAUUUUAUACUUCUUUAAAGUUAAUACAAGUAAAUAUUUGAUUAACCAGAUUUAAGGAUAGAUAACUCUGAUUAUUCUAAUCUAGCAGUAUAAAUAAGGUUUCUAUGAUUUUAAUAUUUUGUCUUCAGGUUAUAUUAUUGAAACAGAAUGUAAACUGAUUCAAAUCAAUCAGUUGGUGAAAAGGCCUUUGCACUACAUGUGAGGUAUGUUUAUAUGUAUACAGUUUGUAUUGUUCAUGUUACUUUUAUGUUGCUUUGCUUAAAUGUAUUGUCUGCUUUGUGUAACUGUUGCAAAAACGGAAUGUCUUGUUUUUGCACUUACAAUUGCGUGUUAUUAUUAUGUUAAACUAACUAUUUUUGGUAUGAUACUACAAGCGUAGCUAUGUAUUAGCUGUGAACUUAGUCUGUCGUUGCAUAUUUCACAAUGCACUAAAUACAGAGAAAUAUAGAAUGUACUUAUUUUUCGGAAUGGUGUAAUAUCGUUUUGUGUAGCUUGUAAAACUAUUAUUUUAAGGGCAAAGGAAAUCUACAGUUUUCUUCUAUGCAUAUAGAUAUAUUGAUUUUAUAGUAAUUGAUAAUUACUACUGAUUGAAUUGUAUAAGAAUUAUAUUGUUAUUAUUUCAGGGUCAUUUUUGUUAGAAUAUUAACAUCAAUUCUGAUGAAAUAAAGAACCUAAGACCUAUCAACGUGUUUGUGUUUAUUUAAAUACAUGGGAAGCACGACUACAUUUUGGCGCCCAACGUAGAUUUCAUCAGUGUUAUUAAAGAUCAACGAUUUCCAUUACCUGUGGAGGGAACUCCGUUAUUACAUAAUAGACAUUAGUGUAUCGAUACGUCACAGGAAGUGGUACGUCACUGGUCGACAUACGUAUAUUGAACUUUGUGUUUACAUCCGGAAGUCAAGAAAUAGGACGUCAACAACACGGAUUUUCAGUGAAAAU
RNAcentral lists this long non-coding RNA (1089 nucleotides) under Mytilus galloprovincialis (Mediterranean mussel). The record is from RNAcentral. Lineage: Eukaryota; Metazoa; Mollusca; Bivalvia; Mytilida; Mytilidae.